Natrialba asiatica DSM 12278 is the source of this 82-nucleotide transfer RNA. It matches the Rfam family "tRNA". Rfam says of the family: Transfer RNA (tRNA) molecules are approximately 80 nucleotides in length. Their secondary structure includes four short double-helical elements and three loops (D, anti-codon, and T loops). NCBI's taxonomy places the organism in Archaea, Methanobacteriati, Methanobacteriota, Halobacteria, Halobacteriales, Natrialbaceae. The record is from Rfam.
GGUGGGGUGGCAGAGCGGCCUAUUGCGCCUGCCUUGAAAGCAGGUGGCGUCAGCCUCUUGGGUUCAAAUCCCAACCCCACCG